UUGCCUCAGUAACGGCGAGUGAAGCGGCAAAAGCUCAAAUUUUAAAGCUGGCAUCUUCGGUGUCCGCGUUGUAAUUUUGUGAGGCAUCUCCGGGUAGGGCGCCAGCCUAAGUUCCUUGGAACAGGACGUCACAGAGGGUGAGAAUCCCGUGCUUGGCUGGCUGUCCCCGCCCACGUGAGGCGUCUUCGACGAGUCGAGUUGUUUGGGAAUGCAGCUCAAAAUGGGUGGUAAAUUUCAUCUAAAGCUAAAUAUUGGUGGGAGACCGAUAGCGCACAAGUAGAGUGAUCGAAAGAUGAAAAGCACUUUGAAAAUAGAGUUAAAAAGUACGUGAAAUUGUUGAAAGGGAAGCGCUUGAGACCAGACUUCGGUAGGGGGUGAUCAGCCGUCCUUCUGGGCGGUGCACUUGCCCCCCUCCGGGCCAGCAUCGGUUGAGGCGGCGGGAUAAAGGUCCCGGGAACGUGGCUCCUUCACGGGAGUGUUAUAGCCCGGGUGAAUGCCGCCAGCCUCGACCGAGGACCGCGCCCGCAAGGGUUAGGAUGCUUGGCAUAAUGGUCUUCAGCGACCCGUCUU
RNAcentral lists this ribosomal RNA (570 nucleotides) under Morchella punctipes. RNAcentral's name for it is "eukaryotic LSU rRNA". It matches the Rfam family "Eukaryotic large subunit ribosomal RNA", at positions 75 to 655 of the family's 3401-position model. The record is from RNAcentral. Lineage: Eukaryota; Fungi; Ascomycota; Pezizomycetes; Pezizales; Morchellaceae.